Molecule: ribosomal RNA, 353 nt
Filed under: uncultured bacterium
Lineage: Bacteria
Description: bacterial SSU rRNA
Rfam family: Bacterial small subunit ribosomal RNA
Source: RNAcentral
ACCAAACAGUUUCGGAAACGACUGCUAAUACCGCAUGACACAUAGGUGUCGCAUGGCACUUAUGUCAAAGAUUUAUCGCUGAAAGAUGGCCUCGCGUCUGAUUAGCCUAGUUGGUGAGGUAACGGCUCACCAAGUCGACGAUCAUUAGCCGGACUGAGAGGUUGAACCGGCCACAUUGGGACUGAGACACGGCCCAGACUCCUACGGGAGGCCAGCAGUGAGGAAUAUUGGGCAAUGGGCGAAAGCCUGACCCAGCAACGCCGCGUGAAGGAAGACGGUUUUCGGAUUGUAAACUUCUUUUAAGAGGGACGAUAAUGACGGUACCUCUUGAAUAAGCCACGGCUAACUACGUG